Molecule: ribosomal RNA, 355 nt
Filed under: Clostridioides difficile
Lineage: Bacteria; Bacillati; Bacillota; Clostridia; Peptostreptococcales; Peptostreptococcaceae
Description: bacterial SSU rRNA
Rfam family: Bacterial small subunit ribosomal RNA
Source: RNAcentral
CUGACGCUGAGGCACGAAAGCGUGGGGAGCAAACAGGAUUAGAUACCCUGGUAGUCCACGCUGUAAACGGUGAGUCCUAGGGGUCGUGCGUGACCCCCUUCGGUGCCGCAGCUAACGCAUUAAGUACUCCGCCUGGGAAGUCCGCUCGCAAGAGGGAAACUCAAAGGAAUUGACGGGGACCCGGACAAGUAGCGGAGCAUGUGGUUUAAUUAGAAGCAACGCGAAGACCCUUACCUAAGCUUGACAUCCCAAUGACAUCUCCUUAAUCGGAGAGUUCCCUUCGGGGACAUUGGUGACAGGUGGUGCAUGGUUGUCGUCAGCUCGUGUCGUGAGAUGUUGGGUUAAGUCCCGCAAC